RNAcentral lists this ribosomal RNA (253 nucleotides) under uncultured bacterium. RNAcentral describes it as "partial 16S ribosomal RNA". It matches the Rfam family "Bacterial small subunit ribosomal RNA", at positions 524 to 776 of the family's 1533-position model. The record is from RNAcentral.
UACGGGGGGGGCAAGCGUUGUUCGGAAUUACUGGGCGUAAAGGGCUCGUAGGUGGCCAACUCAGUCAGACGUGAAAUCCCUCGGCUUAACCGGGGAACUGCAUCUGAUACUGGAUGGCUUGAGAUUGGGAGAGGGACGCGGAAUUCCAGGUGUAGCGGUGAAAUGCGUAGAUAUCUGGAGGAACACCGGUGGCGAAGGCGGCGUCCUGGACCAACACUGACACUGAGGAGCGAAAGCCAGGGGAGCAAACGGG